GAGUUUGAUCAUGGCUCAGGAUGAACGCUGGCGGCGUGCCUAAUACAUGCAAGUCGAACGAAGCGGUUUUGCGGAAGUUUUCGGAUGGAAGCGGAAUUGACUGAGUGGCGGACGGGUGAGUAACGCGUGGGUAACCUACCCCAUACAGGGGGAUAACAGUUAGAAAUGACUGCUAAUACCGCAUAAGCGCACAGUACCGCAUGGUACGGUGUGAAAAGCCGAGACGGUGUGGGAUGGACCCGCGUCUGAUUAGCUGGUUGGCAGGGUAACGGCCUACCAAGGCGACGAUCAGUAGCCGACCUGAGAGGGUGACCGGCCACAUUGGGACUGAGACACGGCCCAAACUCCUACGGGAGGCAGCAGUAGGGAAUAUUGCACAAUGGGGGAAACCCUGAUGCAGCGACGCCGCGUGAGUGAAGAAGUAUUUCGGUAUGUAAAGCUCUAUCAGCAGGGAAGAAGCAAGACGGUACCUGAGUAAGAAGCCCCGGCUAACUACGUGCCAGCAGCCGCGGUGAUACGUAGGGGGCAAGCGUUAUCCGGAUUUACUGGGUGUAAAGGGAGCGUAGACGGUAAAGCAAGUCUGAAGUGAAAGCCCGCGGCUCAACUGCGGGACUGCUUUGGAAACUGUUUAACUGGAGUGCUGGAGAGGUAAGCGGAAUUCCUAGUGUAGCGGUGAAAUGCGUAGGUAUUAGGAGGAACACCAGUGGCGAAGGCGGCUUACUGGACAGUAACUGACGUUGAGGCUCGAAAGCGUGGGGAACAAACAGGAUUAGAUACCCUGGUAGUCCACGCGGUAAACG
Molecule: ribosomal RNA, 800 nt
Filed under: uncultured bacterium
Lineage: Bacteria
Description: bacterial SSU rRNA
Rfam family: Bacterial small subunit ribosomal RNA
Source: RNAcentral